CGAUCCUAAUGUUUUCUGCCGUGGACUGACUGCUGAGCUCUAUAGGCGCUGGUUUGUGGAGCAGACUGGGAGCGAGCUCAUUAAUGCAUGUGUGGAUGGAUCAGAAGAGAGACUCACUAUGUUCUCUCUUUCUUUAACAGCGGACUGAAAAAAACAUACACAAGAUGGAAGAGGGAGAUGAUAAAGGUUGUGCUGCCUUAACGGAGGCUUCUGGUUGCAAUGCUUCACUGCGGACUGAAAAAAACAUACACAAGAUGGAAGAGGGAGAUGAUAAAGGUUGUGCUGCCUUAACGGAGGCUUCUGGUUGCAAUGCUUCACUGGACAACAACAUAUGAUCCAAGCAACCUGUGACACAGUAAUGUGUCCCUCUGCCAGAGCAGAUCUGAUGGGCAGGACUUUCUGAGCUGAGAGUCGGCGG
This is a long non-coding RNA of Cyprinus carpio carpio, 418 nucleotides long. NCBI's taxonomy places the organism in Eukaryota, Metazoa, Chordata, Actinopteri, Cypriniformes, Cyprinidae. The record is from Ensembl.